This 238-nucleotide ribosomal RNA is filed under the name uncultured bacterium. Its description in RNAcentral is "partial 16S ribosomal RNA". It matches the Rfam family "Bacterial small subunit ribosomal RNA", at positions 15 to 235 of the family's 1533-position model. The record is from RNAcentral.
GAUCAUGGCUCAGGACGAACGCUGGCGGCGUGCUUAACACAUGCAAGUCGAACGAGAAUCUACUGAAAGAGUUUUCGGACAAUGGAUGUAGAGGAAAGUGGCGGACGGGNGAGUAACGCGUGAGGAACCUGCCUUGAAGAGGGGGGACAACAGUUGGAAACGACUGCUAAUACCGCAUGAAGCAUAGGGGUCGCAUGAUCUUUAUGCCAAAGAUUUAUCGCUUCAAGAUGGCCUCGCG